Molecule: long non-coding RNA, 472 nt
Filed under: Bos taurus (domestic cattle)
Lineage: Eukaryota; Metazoa; Chordata; Mammalia; Artiodactyla; Bovidae
Description: long non-coding RNA NONBTAT002722
Source: RNAcentral
GCACUAAUAAAAAUUUAAUAUCAUAAAACAAAUCAGAAAACAGCAAAAACAUCUUUUUUAACCAUUCACAAUUAAAGUGGAAAGAGACAAAAAUUAUAAGGCAGCCAUCCGUGGAAUGAUUUCAUGUUUACAAAGGAUCCAGAAAAAGGGGACAUUUAAAAUCACCAUUUAGGCUACCAAACCAGGGGGACUGCAGUGUUAGCCCAUGAGAUUUCUCACUUAGUAGAAGAUGCUAUGAGAAAACAGAUCAAAGUCAACCUCCUUGUGUUAGGCUGAGCAUAUCUAGAAAAUUCCUAAUGCCUGUCGAGCCCUUUCAUGCAAGUCAUACAUUUCCCUCAGGUCUUCUCAGGUGAAUCUAGACGUCUCAGGUACAAAGGGGCUACAUGACUGGUUUUAAUUUCAUAGCAUCUCAAACAGUGCUCUUUGGGUAAUGUGGACCAUUCUGUGUUGAGCAAAAAAUCCUGUAAUGCAA